GAUUCCAUCUCGACUUUGUCAAGACGCGAUUUCAACUGCCUAACUUCUUGUUUAAGAGAAUUUAUCUCUUGACGUAAGUCAGAUAUAGAGGGCUCAGCAGAUUUAUCGAACCUAUUGAACACUUGUUUCAUACUAAUAGGUUCGAUGGCCUUAGACGAAGAAGGUUUCUUUUGAUCAGAACCCAGAAUAAUUUUCUUGAG
RNAcentral lists this long non-coding RNA (200 nucleotides) under Nicotiana benthamiana. RNAcentral describes it as "long non-coding RNA (NBEN_LNC000014)". Lineage: Eukaryota; Viridiplantae; Streptophyta; Magnoliopsida; Solanales; Solanaceae. The record is from RNAcentral.